RNAcentral lists this ribosomal RNA (397 nucleotides) under uncultured bacterium. RNAcentral describes it as "partial 16S ribosomal RNA". It matches the Rfam family "Bacterial small subunit ribosomal RNA", at positions 523 to 918 of the family's 1533-position model. The record is from RNAcentral.
AUACGUAGGGUGCGAGCGUUAAUCGGAAUUACUGGGCGUAAAGCGUGCGCAGGCGGUUUUGUAAGACAGGUGUGAAAUCCCCGGGCUCAACCUGGGAACUGCGUUUGUGACUGCAAGGCUAGAGGGCGACAGAGGGGGGUGGAAUUUCACGUGUAGCAGUUAAAUGCGUAGAGAUGUGGAGGGACACCGAUGGCGAAGGCAGCCCCCUGGGUCGUAACUGACGCUCAUGCACGAAAGCGUGGGGAGCAAACAGGAUUAGAUACCCUGGUAGUCCACGCCCUAAACGAUGUCGACUAGUUGUUCGGAGGGUUUGACCUCUGGGUAACGCAGCUAACGCGUGAAGUCGACCGCCUGGGGAGUACGGUCGCAAGAUUAAAACUCAAAGGAAUUGACGGGG